This 17-nucleotide small RNA is filed under the name Arabidopsis thaliana (thale cress). RNAcentral describes it as "ATSL002910". Lineage: Eukaryota; Viridiplantae; Streptophyta; Magnoliopsida; Brassicales; Brassicaceae. The record is from RNAcentral.
UUUUUUUGAUUUUUUUG